UUUUAUUAAAUGAACGCUUCAAAUACAUAUAAUAAUAUUAUUGGCCACUCAUGAUAUAUUAGUUGUUAACCACAUCAUGGUAACAAAAAUAUGAUUUAUUCUAUUUUUAUUCUCAACAACAUGAGAUGCAUAAAUAAGGAAACUCGGCUUGGCAAUUGCAACAUUUGAAUUUUUUGCAUAAUCCAAAGCAACCUGAAAUUGUCAAAACAAAUAUUCUUCAUUUAUUAAAAAAUUAAAACUUUAUCAUAAAGACUCCUCAUAUAAUAAAAGAAAGCAUGAUGAGCCAAUCUGAAUCAAUGAGAGAGUAUGUAUUAGGAAACCAAAAUUUUGAUUAUAACAUAAUUAUACUUAGAAGAAUUUCAAUCAUUUAAUGUAAUUUUUUUUUUAAAAUUAUCAGGAAAUUCUAACAUCCAAAUAUCAAAUUUAAACCUUCCAAAUAUGAUGUGAUUUUGAAUAGUUUAAUACAUUCAAAAUUAUGUAUAUGUUUAGUUAUAUAUGCACAUUUCGAGUUGAAAUAUUUUUUUUUAUUAAUAUGAAGACAAUAAUAAUAAUAAAAAGGUAAAGAAAUCCUUAAACUAAGUUACCUGAAACAGACACACGAGUGCUACGACUUGCGGUAGACAUUUUUAAUGACAUUAUCGGUGAUGUUGCUUCUGGUGCAGAUGAUAGUUCUGGUGCAUAUACUGGUUCUAGUGUUGCUAGAGUUAAUGGAGAAAAAAGAACAAAAAGGACAAUAAUGAUGUAUCCCAUAGAAUUAGUUGGUUUUGCCAUCUUAAACAACUAUUUAUUUUGCUUGUAAGUACUUUUUUC
This 810-nucleotide long non-coding RNA is filed under the name Nicotiana tabacum (common tobacco). RNAcentral's name for it is "long non-coding RNA (NTAB_LNC013284)". Lineage: Eukaryota; Viridiplantae; Streptophyta; Magnoliopsida; Solanales; Solanaceae. The record is from RNAcentral.